UCCCUGUUGGUGCAAUUGGCAGCACGCCUGGCCCUGGACCAGGAAGUCGGGGUUCGAGUCCUUGGCAGGGAG
RNAcentral lists this transfer RNA (72 nucleotides) under Streptomyces atratus. RNAcentral describes it as "tRNA_Gln_CTG". It matches the Rfam family "tRNA". Rfam says of the family: Transfer RNA (tRNA) molecules are approximately 80 nucleotides in length. The record is from RNAcentral. Lineage: Bacteria; Bacillati; Actinomycetota; Actinomycetes; Kitasatosporales; Streptomycetaceae.